RNAcentral lists this non-coding RNA (239 nucleotides) under Aedes aegypti (yellow fever mosquito). Lineage: Eukaryota; Metazoa; Arthropoda; Insecta; Diptera; Culicidae. The record is from RNAcentral.
CGGCAACAAAGUGCUCCAGGUGCUCCACGGGCCAUCCGGCCCAGGAGUUAAACGGGAAACAGGUGCGCGGCCUUCCUCGAAGCCGCCAUCCCUGUGCUGCCCCCGCAACGGUAAGCAGGUGCACGGCGCGUCAAUCCGCCACUGGGUUUUCGACCUGGGAAGGCGACGCGCCGCGGCCGGUGGUCCAUCCACCCGCCCAGCCUGCGAGCCCGGAUACCGGCCUCGGACACACCAAGCGG